GUCUCUGUAGCACAAUAAAUAGCGCGUUGGACUUCUAAUUCAAAGGUCGGGGGCUCGAAUCUCUCCUGGGAUG
Trichonephila inaurata madagascariensis is the source of this 73-nucleotide non-coding RNA. The record is from the annotation of a GenBank genome assembly. Lineage: Eukaryota; Metazoa; Arthropoda; Arachnida; Araneae; Nephilidae.